This 1450-nucleotide unclassified non-coding RNA is filed under the name Hevea brasiliensis (rubber tree). Lineage: Eukaryota; Viridiplantae; Streptophyta; Magnoliopsida; Malpighiales; Euphorbiaceae. The record is from RNAcentral.
CACAUCUCUUGCAUCUGCUAACUGUUUAAGGAAGGGGGAGAGAGAGAGAGCGAAGAAAAUGAAAAGUCACGUGGUUUAUAUUAACUUACAAUAGAAGCAAGUUCAUUAAUGAUCCAACUCAACUAACCCUCAAUGAACUUACAAUAGAAGUGAGUUCAUUAAGAUACAACUUGAAAAUAAUUAACUACAAUUCAAAUCACAAAGAAGGGGGAGGGGGAGAAUGGCCUUACAUCAAGGAUUACAUUUUAGAAACAAAAUUGUUCAAUUAUAUAUGAGCAGAUACUGAUUUUUCUAAAAGAUAAUGAUGCUGUUCAAACCAUCUAAUAUUUAGUAAUCACCAGCACAGCAUAGAAAAUUUUGAGAAAUAACAAACUAUGUUUGAGGAGAGAGAAAAGGCAGAGGAGAAACUGGAGGAAGACUGUAAGAGGGAGUGUAAAUUGCUUAGUCUUAUCACUCCAAGAGGGUAGUGGAUAAAAAGCCCAAGAUUUGGCUCAGAAAUACAUGGCUAAAGAGAGAUCAUAAAAAUAAAAAAAUAAAUAAAUCAAAGAGACUAAGCAUAACUAGAAACUUGCAAAAAAGCUUUUAGCCAAAUACUAAAUAUAAAAACCUUUGCUUCCAUGAUGGAACUUUUACAAUACUGCACCUAAUUACACUGCAUUUUUACAAAAUGUUUUCAUUUACAUUUGGCAUACUGUUCACUGAUGCUCACUGAUACAACUGAAAGGGGGAGGGCAUGGGGGAAGAUGUGAAAGAGCAAAUGAAAAGUAUAUAUGUUGAAAAUAACAACGAUACAAGGUACAUGAGAAGCUUCCAGAAAGAAUUACUUCAUAAGAAGAUGGCUAAUAUAAAGAUUGGGGGAGGCAAUUGGCUGUAAUUUUUAAAAAGAUAAUUUUUGCUAUAAACUUCCAACUCAAUAAUAGAAUUCGUUAUACAAAGAAUGAUCAGAAUAUUGCAAAUUUUUAAUUAAAAUUUUUGGUUUAUAUGCAUUGAUAAGUAAUAACGAAGUCAAUAAAGACAGUGCACAAGUUGAUGAAAGUAAAUACAUAAAUUUAGGCAACCAAGAAUUGUUGUAGUCUCAUGCAGAAGCGAAGGCCAAGUUUCCAUCUCCAUAACGGAGAUAUUUUCAUCUCCAUACAAGAAAACCUCAAUUUUGAAAGAAGAUGGUUGAUGCAAGCAGUUCACACAAUUACACCAAGACUAUAACUUCUAUUGGGAUUGCUUUUCCGAGUAUAUUAUUAUUCUAUGCAAAUUGUAGAGUGAUCAAUAAAAACCAUUUAGAUAUGCACAUACACACAUAUAUAUGCUUUUUAGAUUAUAAUUGACUUAUUAAUUAUUCUUAAGAACAUCACAUUUAUAAAACAAUGGUACAGUAAGGUAAAAAAUUUCAAGGUAAAUAUGAAGACUUACAGAAUUGUGAGUAAAUUACCUGAGGAACCCAUUUAGGUGAUAC